GGUUCGACUGGGGCUGGGGAAAGGAGUGGAGAGUGUGUGGACAGCAAAAACCUCCUCAGAGCAGCCCCAGAACCGGUGUUUGCUCUUCUGGACAGAGUUUGGUACCGCUGGUUCCCUGCUGGCUUUGUGAGCCAAACACGAGCGUUCCUGUGGAAAAGCUCACACGGUUCCUUCCAGCCAAGGGACGAGGCUCCCGUGGCUGGGGCUGGAGCGGUCUCUGGGCAGUGAUGGAUGGCAGAUGGGCACAGCAGAGAGCUGGGGCAGGCUGAGAUGGAGCAGUAUCAGCACACCUGAGGAUGUGGUUCCAUGUGCUUCCAAGGCAAGGAAGAAGGGUUGAGAAGAAUAGCUGGGAAGAAGGGGUCAAUAUUCCAAUUCUCAUAAAAGUCUGCAAACAUAUGGCCUUUGCCAGCACAGCUGCUUUCCUGCCACCAUCGACAAUCAAGGUUAAAAUGCACGAUGCUCAUUCAAAGGGAAAUGCAGUGGGAAAAUUUUCACUCCACUGUUUGUGUAGUUUUAUUUCCAAAGGCAAAUUGAAAAGUUGCAGUGUAUUUAAGCUUGGUUUGACCUAAAUGACCAACCAAACAAGAAAUAAAUACCCUUUUGGGCUGAGUUUGA
Long non-coding RNA from Parus major (Great Tit), 615 nucleotides. RefSeq lists it as uncharacterized. Lineage: Eukaryota; Metazoa; Chordata; Aves; Passeriformes; Paridae. The transcript is spliced from 3 exons. The record is from RefSeq and is a predicted model, not a curated record.